CAAGGAGUCCCAUAGUAAAUAAAUAAACCACAAUGUCGAAAAAAAUCAGAACGAUUUUCUCUAGCCAAACUUUUUCUGAGUUAGAACUAGUUAUUUCUGAGUUUAAAUUAGUUAUUGCUGGAAUACUUUGCGUGAAAUAUUUGUGAAAAGGACAUCAUAUAUGACACCUGGUCAGGAUAAUAAGUGUCAUGACGUAAUGCAAAUUACAAACGCAGGAAGCUCAAUGGAUCCUCGAGAUCUCGUGAGACAAUUCACGAGAACCAUACCCUUGAAUCUUCUACCCGGGAAAACAUGUCGGGAAGCAAAAUGGCUCAUUGAGGACUGCAAUUGAUCGAGAAUGUGAUGAAGAAUUGGCUACAAAUGCGAUACGGUUCUAGCAAUUGCAAUAAUUGCAAAUUGCUCGGACUUAUUUAUUUAGAAAUGAUGGUUUGAUCUAUCGUUUUCAGAAGAUUUUAGAGUUUCAUCACACUAAUGAUCCUUCCAAGUCGGGGCACCAGAUCCAAGUUCUACAAAUGAUUAUGUAGAUUAACGGAGAUAUUUUGGCCACUAAUAAAAGCUCUGUGUUAUAAAAUUGA
Long non-coding RNA from Malaya genurostris, 575 nucleotides. RefSeq lists it as uncharacterized. The record is from RefSeq and is a predicted model, not a curated record. Lineage: Eukaryota; Metazoa; Arthropoda; Insecta; Diptera; Culicidae. The transcript is spliced from 3 exons.